Molecule: non-coding RNA, 431 nt
Organism: Chelonoidis abingdonii (Abingdon island giant tortoise)
Lineage: Eukaryota; Metazoa; Chordata; Testudines; Testudinidae
Source: RefSeq, a predicted model, not a curated record
UACCGGGGUAGGCCCCUCCCCCUGGGGGCGCCAGGGGCCCUAGGCAGAUAGCUCCGAAUCCCUUCCCCCCGCUAGGCAUGGGGGCGGGGCGCUGAGCCCCCCAGCAGCCUCCCCCCCCCGCCCCCGGCUCGCGCCUUCCUCCGCUCAGGGUUCUCCCGCCCCGGGAUUCCCCUCUCGGCCUCUCCCGCCCCAUGCGGGGCUGGGCAGUGCCCCGGGAGCUGCGGCCGGUAUAAAGCGAGCGGAGCGGCAGGCGGCUUGCUCAUAGUCGCUAUGCUGGGUGCUCCUGCUGCUCGGUCUGGGUAGCGUCCGCUGCCCUCCGGGGGCCUCUCCGCCCUGUCCCUGGCCUCCGGCGCGGCCCCCGGGGAGAGCUCAGUCCGCCCCGCCGCCGUCUACCAGACCCGCUACUUCCCCAGAAGAUUGAUCAUUUAGGA